Molecule: ribosomal RNA, 253 nt
Filed under: uncultured bacterium
Lineage: Bacteria
Description: partial 16S ribosomal RNA
Rfam family: Bacterial small subunit ribosomal RNA
Source: RNAcentral
UACAGAGGGGGCAAGCGUUGUUCGGAAUUACUGGGCGUAAAGGGCGCGUAGGUGGCCUUCUAAGUUGAACGUGAAAUCCCUGGGCUCAACCCAGGAACUGCGUCCAAGACUGGGAGGCUUGAAUCCGGGAGAGGGAUGCGGAAUUCCAGGUGUAGCGGUGAAAUGCGUAGAUAUCUGGAGGAACACCGAUGGCGAAGGCAGCCCCCUGGGUUAACACUGACGCUCAUGCACGAAAGCGUGGGGAGCGAACAGG